Drosophila montana is the source of this 1098-nucleotide long non-coding RNA. RefSeq lists it as uncharacterized. NCBI's taxonomy places the organism in Eukaryota, Metazoa, Arthropoda, Insecta, Diptera, Drosophilidae. The record is from RefSeq and is a predicted model, not a curated record. The transcript has 2 exons.
CCCGAAGAUACCCCAAGCCAAACACUUGCCAGAAACAGCAAACAAAGAUGCUGAAAUCAAUUGUAAGGUGAAAAAAGGCAUUUAGUGUGAGCAUCAGCCAUCAGACGUACACUCGAAAAACUGCACUAUUUGUGCAGAUUAGAAAAUGUAUACGUAAAUCCUGUAGGACUGAUUUAGUGACAUGAGCGAUGGAGGAAAUACAAUGGGAAUGUGUGAUAUUUUUUCAAAAGUUCUUGUGCCUGGUAACGCACAUCCUCAAUUGAAAUUGCAGUAUAAAAUAUUGCAUUUGCCUGCCCCACAACAGGCCUUGCCAACUUCGAACUUCGAGGCUUGACACACAAUUAACUUGUUUUUUUGGGUCAAGUUCAAAAGAAUCGUAGUUAUAUCGUUAUAAGCUAAGUUUGUUUGGUUAUAAUUAAUUCGCUCUAGCAUUGUUUAUUUUUAUUCGCCUUACGUAAAAAUUAGAUUAUAUAUUCUUCACACUUUUCGGCAAUAGCUAGUUGGAAUUCCCAUUUGUUUGAAUAUUUUUAAUAUUCUAAAACCUACUGGACAAACUACAAUGUAUAAAGCAAGGCUGUUAUUGUUUCUAAUACAACUCCUGUCACUACUGCCAUGGAGGGCAAAUGCUGAAUGCUGUCCUACGGGUAAAGCUUAUUAUAGGAUGAAACCGAAUCUGCGUAAGCAUUGUUCGGAUUUCCCUGGAGGCAGUUUGGAUUCAGAUGGGAGCCUACGUGACUGCGUGUCUGAUCUCUGUGGUGGUUUAAGAAAGCCAACGCCGUGUUGCGGAAUAGGAAUAUGCAAUAUUUUCUGCUGCAAUUGUGAUCAGGGAUGUUGGAGCAAACGGUGGAGAGUUCAACGAGAAUUUUAUUCAAAAUAUGGCGAAUUCAUAGAGAUCAAAUGAAAAGAAAUAUGUAAAAUGAGAAAUAUAAUUUGUACGCAUUUCUAUACCGUUUACCAAAGAUACUGAAUUCAAUUGUAAGGUAAAAAAAGGCAUUUAGUGUGAGCAUCGGCCAUCAGACGUACACUCGAAAAAAUUCACUUGAACUAUUCCAUAACAGAAAAUAAUAUUAAAAUUUAAAUAUAUAAUUCAGAAAAGUA